ACGGAAGGCAGCAGUGGGGAAUAUUGCACAAUGGGCGAAAGCCUGAUGCAGCGACGCCGCGUGAGUGAAGAAGUAUCUCGGUAUGUAAAGCUCUAUCAGCAGGGAAGAAAAUGACGGUACCUGACUAAGAAGCCCCGGCUAACUACGUGCCAGCAGCCGCGGUAAUACGUAGGGGGCAAGCGUUAUCCGGAUUUACUGGGUGUAAAGGGAGCGUAGACGGUUUGGCAAGUCUGAAGUGAAAUGCGGGGGCUCAACUCCUGAACUGCUUUGGAAACUGUCGAACUAGAGUGCAGGAGAGGUAAGUGGAAUUCCUAGUGUAGCGGUGAAAUUCGUAGAUAUUAGGAGGAACACCAGUGGCGAAGGCGGCUUACUGGACUGUAACUGACGUUGAGGCUCGAAAGCGUGGGGAGCAAACAGGAUUAGAUACCCUGGUA
Molecule: ribosomal RNA, 434 nt
Filed under: uncultured Lachnospiraceae bacterium
Lineage: Bacteria; Bacillati; Bacillota; Clostridia; Lachnospirales; Lachnospiraceae
Description: partial 16S ribosomal RNA
Rfam family: Bacterial small subunit ribosomal RNA
Source: RNAcentral